GAUGAACGCUGGCGGCGUGCCUAAUACAUGCAAGUCGAGCGAACAGACGAGGAGCUUGCCCCUCUGACGUUAGCGGCGGACGGGUGAGUAACACGUGGAUAACCUACCUAUAAGACUGGGAUAACUUCGGGAAACCGGAGCUAAUACCGGAUAAUAUAUUGAACCGCAUGGUUCAAUAGUGAAAGACGGUUUUGCUGUCACUUAUAGAUGGAUCCGCGCCGCAUUAGCUAGUUGGUAAGGUAACGGCUUACCAAGGCAACGAUGCGUAGCCGACCUGAGAGGGUGAGCGGCCACGCUGGAACUGAGACACGGUCCAGACUCCUACGGGAGGCAGCAGUAGGGAAUCUUGCGCAAUGGGCGAAGGCCUGACGGAGCAACGCCGCGUGAGUGAUGAAGGUCUUCGGAUCGUAAAACUCUGUUAUUAGGGAAGAACAAAUGUGUAAGUAACUAUGCACGUCUUGACGGUACCUAAUCAGAAAGCCACGGCUAACUACGUG
Molecule: ribosomal RNA, 497 nt
Filed under: uncultured bacterium
Lineage: Bacteria
Description: partial 16S ribosomal RNA
Rfam family: Bacterial small subunit ribosomal RNA
Source: RNAcentral